CCUCUCCCCAGUCUGAGGUUGGGCAAAUGGGUAACAACUUUGUCUUCUUUUUAUUGCCGCUCUCACUACCUAGGCUCUGACACAGAUUCCACACUCCCAAGCGCCCACCUCGGACACCCUCUGGGCUUCUGCAUUACUUGGCACUGACCGCUUCCUGCACCGGGCUUCCAGUGGGCCUUUUUGGCCAGUCCAGGCAGGUGAACUUUUAAGAAAGCAAAGAGCUAUAAAAUACCUUGAUUGUUCUAACUCCAGUGAACUGCAGAUCUAUGAAGAAGCAACGGCUCUUCCAUCAUUCUUCAAUCCUGAAAAUAAAACUAGAAACUUGGAUUCAUAUCUGGCUCUACUGUAUUAUGUGACUGGAAUAAAAUCACUGUGAUUGUAAACUUUUUCAAGUAUUUCAUAAUUUUCAGUCUUGCCUUCUAACGUCAACACCUGCUGUUUCAGUUUGCUCUGAAUCCUUUCCUUUUAGGAUAAAGGCCCACCACUCAACCAAGGUGAUUCUGACAUGAAUUACCAAAUACAGUGCCUAAGACCCAG
Bos taurus (domestic cattle) is the source of this 537-nucleotide long non-coding RNA. NCBI's taxonomy places the organism in Eukaryota, Metazoa, Chordata, Mammalia, Artiodactyla, Bovidae. The record is from Ensembl.